Helianthus annuus (common sunflower) is the source of this 394-nucleotide long non-coding RNA. RefSeq lists it as uncharacterized. NCBI's taxonomy places the organism in Eukaryota, Viridiplantae, Streptophyta, Magnoliopsida, Asterales, Asteraceae. The record is from RefSeq and is a predicted model, not a curated record. The transcript has 3 exons.
UGUAUGUGGGUGUGUGCAAUCGUGAAUAAGGAACCAGGAAGAACUCCUCCUCAUCUAACCCUAACUUCACAAAUCCAUCAAAUUAAAAAGGAAAUUGAGGGCUAAUUGAAUGCAUGAACUAAGAAUGGUGAUCACCUAAGUAUUUCCUACAUCAAGCACAAAGAAGGAAGAAGGCGCAAGUCACUCGAAGGCACAAGCAUCUCAAGAUCGCGGUAAAUCCCUUGCUUGAUUGCAGCGCGCCCGGAUUGAACACACACAAUGUUGACUUUUUACACGCUUCCGGUUCAAGUGGUUUAUUACGUAUGGGUCAAAUUUCUCAUUUUGUGAUAUGGUGUCAAACUUAUAUUUAGUAUGUUAGAAUGUAGUUGGAUUUCUAAACUUUUAUGUGUGGCUU